This 207-nucleotide long non-coding RNA is filed under the name Elaeis guineensis (African oil palm). RNAcentral's name for it is "long non-coding RNA (EGUI_LNC082874)". The record is from RNAcentral. Lineage: Eukaryota; Viridiplantae; Streptophyta; Magnoliopsida; Arecales; Arecaceae.
CUCCUCACUAGGACUACCCUGGCCAAGAUUUUUUGCUAAAUUGAAACAUGAUUGUACACAGCUUCUGAACUGGAGUGGUCAAUCCCAUCUUGACACACGCACCGAUAAGUCAAGUACUUGACUACACCCAGCAGCCUUCCGUCACUGAAUUAGAAAUUCAGGUAGUCCAGUGCCUAAGUGCAGUGAGUUGCUUGCAAGUCACCGUGG